UGGGGAAUAUUGGACAAUGGGCGGAAGCCUGAUCCAGCCAUGCCGCGUGUGUGAAGAAGGCCUUUUGGUUGUAAAGCACUUUAAGCGAGGAGGAGGCUCUUCUAGUUAAUACCUAGGAUGAGUGGACGCUACUCGCAGAAUAAGCACCGGCUAACUCUGUGCCAGCAGCCGCGGUAAUACAGAGGGUGCGAGCGUUAAUCGGGUUUACUGGGCGUAAAGCGUGCGUAGGCGGCUGAGUAAGUCGGAUGUGAAAUCCCUGAGCUUAACUUAGGAGUUGCAUUCGAUACUGGUCAGCUAGAGUAUGGGAGAGGAUGGUAGGAUUCCAGGUGUAGCGGUGAGAUGCGUGGAUAUAGGAAGGAAGACCAGUGGCGAAGGCGACCACCUGGGCUCAUACUGACACUGAGGUGCGAAAGCGUGGGGAGCAAACAGG
This 430-nucleotide ribosomal RNA is filed under the name Pseudomonadota bacterium. RNAcentral's name for it is "Proteobacteria bacterium partial 16S ribosomal RNA". It matches the Rfam family "Bacterial small subunit ribosomal RNA", at positions 355 to 776 of the family's 1533-position model. The record is from RNAcentral. Lineage: Bacteria; Pseudomonadati; Pseudomonadota.